UUGGAUCACUUUAGAUAACAUCUAAGAAGGC
This 31-nucleotide non-coding RNA is filed under the name Rattus norvegicus (Norway rat). The record is from RNAcentral. Lineage: Eukaryota; Metazoa; Chordata; Mammalia; Rodentia; Muridae.